RNAcentral lists this ribosomal RNA (425 nucleotides) under uncultured bacterium. Its description in RNAcentral is "partial 16S ribosomal RNA". It matches the Rfam family "Bacterial small subunit ribosomal RNA", at positions 354 to 796 of the family's 1533-position model. The record is from RNAcentral.
GUGGGGAAUCUUGCGCAAUGGGCGAAAGCCUGACGCAGCCAUGUCGCGUGGAUGAUGAAGGUCUUAGGAUUGUAAAAUCCUUUCACCGGUGUAGAUAAUGACUGUAGCCGGAGAAGAAGCCCCGGCUAACUUCGUGCCAGCAGCCGCGGUAAUACGAAGGGGGCUAGCGUUGCUCUGAUUUACUGGGCGUAAAGGGCGCGUAGGCGGACAUUUAAGUCAGGGGUGAAAUCCCGGGUCUCAACCUCGGAACUGCCUUGGAUACUGGGUGUCUUAAGUAUGAGAGAGGUGUGUGGAACUCCGAGAGUAGAGGUGAAAUUCGUAGAUAUUCGUAAGCACACCAGUGGCGAAGGCGACACACUGGCUCAUUACUGACGCUGAGGCGCGAAAGCGUGGGGAGCAAACAGGAUUAGAAACCCUUGUAGUCC